UGGGGAAUCUUGCGCAAUGGGCGAAAGCCUGACGCAGCGACGCCGCGUGAGUGAUGAAGGCCCUCGGGUUGUAAAGCUCUGUGGAGGGGGAAGAAUAAGGGUGACCUAACACGUCAUCCGAUGACGGUACCCCUUUAGCAAGCACCGGCUAACUCUGUGCCAGCAGCCGCGGUAAGACAGAGGGUGCAAACGUUGUUCGGAAUUACUGGGCGUAAAGCGCGUGUAGGCGGCUUGGCAAGUCGGGUGUGAAAGCCCUGGGCUCAACCUAGGAAGUGCACUCGAAACUGCCUCGCUCGAGUAUCGGAGAGGAAAGCGGAAUUCUCGGUGUAGAGGUGAAAUUCGUAGAUAUCGAGAGGAACACCGGUGGCGAAGGCGGCUUUCUGGACGGUUACUGACGCUGAGACGCGAAAGCGUGGGGAGCAAACAGG
Molecule: ribosomal RNA, 428 nt
Filed under: uncultured Myxococcales bacterium
Lineage: Bacteria; Pseudomonadati; Myxococcota; Myxococcia; Myxococcales
Description: bacterial SSU rRNA
Rfam family: Bacterial small subunit ribosomal RNA
Source: RNAcentral